GUCGUAACAAGGUUUCCGUAGGUGAACCUGCGGAAGGAUCAUUACGAGUGAGGGCCCUCUGGGUCCAACCUCCCACCCGUGUUUAUUUUACCUUUGCUUCGGCGGGCCCGCCUUAACCGGCCGCCGGGGGGCUCCGCCCCCGGGCCCGCGCCCGCCGAAGACACCCUCGAACUCUGUCUGAAGUGUAGUCUGAGUGAAAAUAUAAAUUAUUUAAAACUUUCAACAACGGAUCUUGGUUCCGGCAUCGAUGAAGAACGCAGCGAAAUGCGAUACGUAAUGUGAAUUGCAAUCAGUGAAUCAUCGAGUCUUUGAACGCACAUUGCGCCCCCUGGUAUUCCGGGGGGCAUCUGUCCGAGCGUCAUUGCUGCCCUCAAGCACGUUGUGUGUUGGGCCCCGUCCUCCGAUCCCGGGGGACGGGCCCGAAAGGGCGGCGGCACCGCGUCCGGUCCUCGAGCGUAUGGGGCUUUGUCACCCGCUCUGUAGGCCCGGCCGGCGCUUGCCGAUCAACCCAAAUUUUUAUCGGUUGACCUCGGAUCAGGUAGG
RNAcentral lists this ribosomal RNA (543 nucleotides) under Penicillium sp. KJ-2012. RNAcentral's name for it is "eukaryotic LSU rRNA". The stretch from base 215 to 361 matches the Rfam family "5.8S ribosomal RNA". Lineage: Eukaryota; Fungi; Ascomycota; Eurotiomycetes; Eurotiales; Aspergillaceae. The record is from RNAcentral.